This 1397-nucleotide ribosomal RNA is filed under the name uncultured bacterium. RNAcentral describes it as "16S ribosomal RNA". It matches the Rfam family "Bacterial small subunit ribosomal RNA". The record is from RNAcentral.
AGAGUUUGAUCCUGGCUCAGGAUGAACGCUAGCUACAGGCUUAACACAUGCAAGUCGAGGGGCAGCAUCAUCAAAGCUUGCUUUGAUGGAUGGCGACCGGCGCACGGGUGAGUAACACGUAUCCAACCUGCCGACAACACUGGGAUAGCCUUUCGAAAGAAAGAUUAAUACCGGAUGGCAUAGUUUUCCCGCAUGGGAUAAUUAUUAAAGAAUUUCGGUUGUCGAUGGGGAUGCGUUCCAUUAGGCAGUUGGCGGGGUAACGGCCCACCAAACCAACGAUGGAUAGGGGUUCUGAGAGGAAGGUCCCCCACAUUGGAACUGAGACACGGUCCAAACUCCUACGGGAGGCAGCAGUGAGGAAUAUUGGUCAAUGGACGAGAGUCUGAACCAGCCAAGUAGCGUGAAGGAUGACUGCCCUAUGGGUUGUAAACUUCUUUUAUACGGGAAUAAAGUUAGCCACGUGUGGCUUUUUGUAUGUACCGUAUGAAUAAGGAUCGGCUAACUCCGUGCCAGCAGCCGCGGUAAUACGGAGGAUCCGAGCGUUAUCCGGAUUUAUUGGGUUUAAAGGGAGCGUAGGCGGGUUGUUAAGUCAGUUGUGAAAGUUUGCGGCUCAACCGUAAAAUUGCAGUUGAUACUGGCGACCUUGAGUGCAACAGAGGUAGGCGGAAUUCGUGGUGUAGCGGUGAAAUGCUUAGAUAUCACGAAGAACUCCGAUUGCGAAGGCAGCUUACUGGAUUGUAACUGACGCUGAUGCUCGAAAGUGUGGGUAUCAAACAGGAUUAGAUACCCUGGUAGUCCACACAGUAAACGAUGAAAUACUUCGCUGUUGGCGAUAUACAGUCAGCGGCCAAGCGAAAGCAUUAAGUAUUCCACCUGGGGAGUACGCCGGCAACGGUGAAACUCAAAGGAAUUGACGGGGGCCCGCACAAGCGGAGGAACAUGUGGUUUAAUUCGAUGAUACGCGAGGAACCUUACCCGGGCUUAAAUUGCAACUGACUGAACCGGAAACGGUUCUUUCUUCGGACAGUUGUGAAGGUGCUGCAUGGUUGUCGUCAGCUCGUGCCGUGAGGUGUCGGCUUAAGUGCCAUAACGAGCGCAACCCUUAUCGAUAGUUACUAGCAGGUCAUGCUGAGGACUCUAUUGAGACUGCCGUCGUAAGAUGUGAGGAAGGUGGGGAUGACGUCAAAUCAGCACGGCCCUUACGUCCGGGGCUACACACGUGUUACAAUGGGGGGUACAGAAGGCAGCUACACGGCGACGUGGUGCUAAUCCCGAAAGCCUCUCUCAGUUCGGAUUGGAGUCUGCAACCCGACUCCAUGAAGCUGGAUUCGCUAGUAAUCGCGCAUCAGCCACGGCGCGGUGAAUACAAACCCGGGCCUUGCACACACCGCCCGUCA